UGCAGUCGAGCGGCAGCACAAGUAGAGUUUACUUACUGAGGUGGCGAGCGGCGGACGGGUGAGUAAUGCCUAGGGAUCUGCCCAGUCGAGGGGGAUAACAGUUGGAAACGACUGCUAAUACCGCAUACGCCCUACGGGGGAAAGAGGGGGACCUUCGGGCCUCUCGCGAUUGGAUGAACCUAGGUGGGAUUAGCUAGUUGGUGAGGUAAUGGCUCACCAAGGCGACGAUCCCUAGCUGUUCUGAGAGGAUGAUCAGCCACACUGGGACUGAGACACGGCCCAGACUCCUACGGGAGGCAGCAGUGGGGAAUAUUGCACAAUGGGGGAAACCCUGAUGCAGCCAUGCCGCGUGUGUGAAGAAGGCCUUCGGGUUGUAAAGCACUUUCAGUAGGGAGGAAAGGGUGAGUCUUAAUACGGCUCAUCUGUGACGUUACCUACAGAAGAAGGACCGGCUAACUCCGUGCCAGCAGCCGCGGUAAUACGGAGGGUCCGAGCGUUAAUCGGAAUUACUGGGCGUAAAGCGUGCGCAGGCGGUUUGUUAAGCGAGAUGUGAAAGCCCUGGGCUCAACCUAGGAAUAGCAUUUCGAACUGGCGAACUAGAGUCUUGUAGAGGGGGGUAGAAUUCCAGGUGUAGCGGUGAAAUGCGUAGAGAUCUGGAGGAAUACCGGUGGCGAAGGCGGCCCCCUGGACAAAGACUGACGCUCAUGCACGAAAGCGUG
RNAcentral lists this ribosomal RNA (719 nucleotides) under Shewanella sp. Its description in RNAcentral is "bacterial SSU rRNA". It matches the Rfam family "Bacterial small subunit ribosomal RNA", at positions 56 to 763 of the family's 1533-position model. Lineage: Bacteria; Pseudomonadati; Pseudomonadota; Gammaproteobacteria; Alteromonadales; Shewanellaceae. The record is from RNAcentral.